GCUGUGGAACUCCUACGGGAGGCAGCAGUGGGGAAUUUUGGACAAUGGGGGCAACCCUGAUCUAGCCAUGCCGCGUGAGUGAUGAAGGCCUUAGGGUUGUAAAGCUCUUUCAGCUGGGAAGAUAAUGACGGUACCAGCAGAAGAAGCCCCGGCUAACUCCGUGCCAGCAGCCGCGGUAAUACGGAGGGGGCUAGCGUUGUUCGGAAUUACUGGGCGUAAAGCGCACGUAGGCGGACCAGAAAGUUGGGGGUGAAAUCCCGGGGCUCAACCUCGGGACUGCUUUCAAAACUAUUGGUCUUGAGUUCGAGAGAGGUGAGUGGAAUUCCGAGUGUAGAGGUGAAAUUCGUAGAUAUUCGGAGGAACACCAGUGGCGAAGGCGGCUCACUGGCUCGAUACUGACGCUGAGGUGCGAAAGCGUGGGGAGCAAACAGGAUUAGAUACCCCUGUAGUCCUACCACGU
Molecule: ribosomal RNA, 460 nt
Filed under: uncultured bacterium
Lineage: Bacteria
Description: bacterial SSU rRNA
Rfam family: Bacterial small subunit ribosomal RNA
Source: RNAcentral